This 495-nucleotide ribosomal RNA is filed under the name uncultured bacterium. RNAcentral's name for it is "bacterial SSU rRNA". It matches the Rfam family "Bacterial small subunit ribosomal RNA", at positions 772 to 1263 of the family's 1533-position model. The record is from RNAcentral.
ACUGAAUAGAUACCCUGGUAGUCCACGCCGUAAACGAUGAGAACUAGCUGUCGGGGGCCUUAGGCUUUCGGUGGCGCAGCUAAACGCAUUAAGUUCUCCGCCUGGGGAGUACGGCCGCAAGGUUAAAACUCAAAGAAAUUGACGGGGGCCUGCACAAGCGGUGGAGCAUGUGGUUUAAAUUCGAAGCAACGCGCAGAACCUUACCAGCGUCUGACAUCCUCAUCGCGGAUUCCAGAGAUGGUUUCCUUCAGUUCGGCUGGAUGAGUGACAGGUGCUGCAUGGCUGUCGUCAGCUCGUGUCGUGAGAUGUUGGGUUAAGUCCCGCAACGAGCGCAACCCUCGUCUUUAGUUGCCAUCAUUAAGUUGGGCACUCUAAAGAAACCGCCGGUGAUAAGCCGGAGGAAGGUGGGGAUGACGUCAAGUCCUCAUGGCCCUUACGCGCUGGGCUACACACGUGCUACAAUGGCGGUGACAGUGGGCAGCAAUCCCGCGAGGG